CCUACGGGCGGCAGCAGUGAGGAAUAUUGGUCAAUGGUCGGAAGACUGAACCAGCCAAGUAGCGUGCAGGAUGACGGCCCUACGGGUUGUAAACUGCUUUUAUACGGGGAUAAAGUGCCUUACGUGUAGUGCUUUGCAUGUACCGCAUGAAUAAGGACCGGCUAAUUCCGUGCCAGCAGCCGCGGUAAUACGGAAGGUCCGGGCGUUAUCCGGAUUUAUUGGGUUUAAAGGGAGCGUAGGCCGCAUGUCAAGCGUGCUGUGAAAUGCCCGGGCUCAACCCGGGCCGUGCAGCGCGAACUGGCGUGCUUGAGUCCGCGGAAAGCAGGCGGAAUUCGUCGGGUAGGGGGGAAAUGCUUAGAUAUGACGAAGAACCCCGAUUGCGAAGGCAGCUUGCUGCAGCGGCACUGACGCUGAUGCUCGAAGGCGCGGGUAUCGAACAGGAUUAGAUACCCGAGUAGUC
RNAcentral lists this ribosomal RNA (460 nucleotides) under uncultured bacterium. RNAcentral describes it as "partial 16S ribosomal RNA". It matches the Rfam family "Bacterial small subunit ribosomal RNA", at positions 338 to 795 of the family's 1533-position model. The record is from RNAcentral.